Molecule: ribosomal RNA, 433 nt
Filed under: uncultured bacterium
Lineage: Bacteria
Description: partial 16S ribosomal RNA
Rfam family: Bacterial small subunit ribosomal RNA
Source: RNAcentral
AACGAACGCUGGCGGCAUGCCUAACACAUGCAAGUCGAACGAGACCAUCGGGCAGCUUGGCGCACCGCUGCGUAACGCGUGGCAACCUGCCAUUGUGUUCGGAAUAACUCGCUGAAGGGGGUGCUCUUCUCGAAACAGGUGCUCGUACCACAGAUCUACCGCAUUUGGAUGGGCGCGCGUUGGAUUAGCUAGUUGGUAGGGUAAAAGCGUACCAAGGCGACGAUCAAUAGCUGGUCUGAGAGGAUGAGCAGCCACACCGGGACUGAGACACGGCGCGGACUCCUACGGGAGGCAGGAGAGGGGGAUAGAGGAAAGUGGGCGGUAGGCUGAUGCAGCAAGGCCGGGAGAGUGAUGAAGGCCGUAGGGUAGGAAAGAACGUUUACCCGGGAUGAUAUUGACGUUACCGGGAGAAGAAGCUCCGGCUAACUCCGUG